CCUACGGGGGGCAGCAGUGGGGAAUAUUGGACAAUUGGGGGAACCCUGAUCCAGCCAUGCCGCGUGUGUGAAGAAGGCCCUCGGGUUGUAAAGCACUUUCAGUGAGGAAGAACGCCUGGUGGUUAAUACCCAUCAGGAAAGACAUCACUCACAGAAGAAGCACCGGCUAACUCCGUGCCAGCAGCCGCGGUAAUACGGAGGGUGCGAGCGUUAAUCGGAAUUACUGGGCGUAAAGCGCGCGUAGGUGGCUUGAUAAGCCGGUUGUGAAAGCCCCGGGCUCAACCUGGGAACGGCAUCCGGAACUGUCAAGCUAGAGUGCAGGAGAGGAAGGUAGAAUUCCCGGUGUAGCGGUGAAAUGCGUAGAGAUCGGGAGGAAUACCAGUGGCGAAGGCGGCCUUCUGGACUGACACUGACACUGAGGUGCGAAAGCGUGGGUAGCAAACAGGAUUAGAUACCCUAGUAGUC
Molecule: ribosomal RNA, 465 nt
Filed under: Vreelandella stevensii
Lineage: Bacteria; Pseudomonadati; Pseudomonadota; Gammaproteobacteria; Oceanospirillales; Halomonadaceae
Description: partial 16S ribosomal RNA
Rfam family: Bacterial small subunit ribosomal RNA
Source: RNAcentral